CUACGGGUUGCUGCAGUGAGGAAUAUUGCACAAUGGGGGGAACCCUGAUGCAGCAACGCCGCGUGGAGGAUGACGCAUUUCGGUGUGUAAACUCCUUUUAUAUGUCAAGAAAAUGACGGUAGCAUAUGAAUAAGCACCGGCUAACUCCGUGCCAGCAGCCGCGGUAAUACGGAGGGUGCAAGCGUUACUCGGAAUCACUGGGCGUAAAGGACGCGUAGGCGGGAUAUCAAGUCAGGUGUGAAAUCCUACAGCUUAACUGUAGAACUGCACUUGAAACUGGUAACCUAGAGUAUGGGAGGGGGAGAUGGAAUUAGUGGUGUAGGGGUAAAAUCCGUAGAUAUCACUAGGAAUACCUAAAGCGAAGGCGAUCUCCUGGAACAUAACUGACGCUAAGGCGUGAAAGCGUGGGGAGCAAACAGGAUUAGAUACCCCCGUAGUC
Molecule: ribosomal RNA, 439 nt
Filed under: uncultured bacterium
Lineage: Bacteria
Description: partial 16S ribosomal RNA
Rfam family: Bacterial small subunit ribosomal RNA
Source: RNAcentral